Molecule: long non-coding RNA, 1715 nt
Organism: Labrus mixtus (cuckoo wrasse)
Lineage: Eukaryota; Metazoa; Chordata; Actinopteri; Labriformes; Labridae
Exons: 6
Source: RefSeq, a predicted model, not a curated record
AGAAAAAACUGUGUGGGUGAAAGCCACAUUAAACUUCCUCUGCAUGCUGACAGACCACUUUCAAUCUGUGAACUUGAAUUUUGAUGUUACACGCGACGAAGAAAGCUUCUGAGGUGCAGAGGAGUCUCUGCUCGGAUCUGUUAAGCAAUAGCUUCAGCACUUAAGGGGGGUUUUAUGUGCUUCAGAUUGUUUGUUAAUUUCUUAAGAGACGUGUUUACCUCAAACACAUGAUGCAAAAAAGCUUUAUUUUUCUGAUUAUUAUUUGGAACACAUCUCCUUUUUCCCCAGGAAACAGUAAGUAACUGUCCAAAUAAUUGAUAUUUCACUAUGUCUUACAAAUAAUAUUUGGAAGUGACUUUGUUCUUGUAAUUGAUUGUUCAUAUAACAUCUCAAAAAGUUUAACAGAAAGCUUAUAUUUUAACAGCUACAACAAAUCUUCUGGAAUACCCAUUGGGAUGUCGAGCUGUGAUACCGUGUCAGCUUCACAGAAGUGAUGCGAGCACUGUCAAAUGGUUUUACAAGAAGCAAGAACAUGAUAGCAACAGAGAACGGAUACUUUUUCAAGAACAAACUGGAGUGAUAACCACAAAGCAACAUUUUGGAACCAAAAUAUUACUGCCACAGAAUAAUUAUUCCCUGGUCAUUGUUUCUUUAACAGAGAAAGAGCAAGGGCUUUACUGGUGUGAAGUUUGUGUUCAAAACAAAUGUGUGAGUGAACAACAGACAGUCGUCAGUAUAAAGAAAGAGAUAGAAACUCAAGUGACAUUCUUCAUUCCAGCAGGGCACAAUUUUACUCAUGCAUGUCCAGGUGAAUUCACAAACUUAAAAUGGACUUUUGAAGCCAGUAAAGUGACUGCAGACGGAAGCCCGGUUCAAAAUCGACUGUCGUACCCUAACCCUCUUACUUUAAACAAGUCUUUAAAGAUUUUUGAUGUCAAAUUAGAAAAUGCUGGAAAGUAUACGUGCUGGACAUAUGGAUGUAAUGAAUACUGGAAGAAGCUACUUACCAUCAACUUGUGUGUGAUAAUAGUACAUCGCAAUGAGGAUUCAUCUGUUUCUUGUGCUGUGGUGUGUGACAUGGAAUCCAGGAACAUCAAACCAAACGGCACAUUCAAUAUGAAGGCAGGCACGUGGACGAUAUCAGUGCUUGUUGGUCGAAAUGGAUCUUGCACAACAAUACCGACGUCUGGUGGAACUACUAGCACAAAGGGACCAGCAUAUGCUUUGAACAACACAAGUGUUUCAACAGGCACAGAGCCCAAGCUGAUCCCUGUUAUUUCUGCAACAUUAACAGCUCUUACAUGCCUUCUUUUGAUGGCACUUUUAAUUUACUACCUCAGAUCAAGACUACGAGGAGUGUGUCCCGUUCAGCUUUGUUGCUGUGGCUUGAAUAACAAGGUAGGUGAGGAAGAGGAAGUGACUUAUUCAUCCAUUGUCAUCAGGAGAUCUGCUGACAUAAGAAACCCUCCUACGACUAACAAUGAUUGUGUGUAUAGUGAAAUAAAUGUGGAAUUCAAAAAUUAAGAUGUUCCUGCCAAGACAAUCCCCACUCUCACUUAAAAAUAGUCAUGAUUUUUGUGUAUAGUUUUUUUGACUUCCCCUUAUAAAACAUUUUGUAUUAAUAGAAGUGUUACUUAAAUUUUGAAUCAACAGCAGCAGACAAGAAAAUAGGUGGCUGAAUUAUCUUUGCAAUAAAAAACUAUUUUGUAAACCUC